RNAcentral lists this ribosomal RNA (248 nucleotides) under uncultured Gardnerella sp. RNAcentral's name for it is "partial 16S ribosomal RNA". It matches the Rfam family "Bacterial small subunit ribosomal RNA", at positions 109 to 355 of the family's 1533-position model. The record is from RNAcentral. Lineage: Bacteria; Bacillati; Actinomycetota; Actinomycetes; Bifidobacteriales; Bifidobacteriaceae.
AGUAAUGCGUGACCAACCUCGCCCCAUGCUCCAGAAUAGCUCUUGGAAACGGGUGGUAAUGCUGGAUGCUCCAACUUGACGCAUGUCUUGUUGGGAAAGUGUUUAGUGGCAUGGGAUGGGGGUCGCGUCCUAUCAGCUUGUAGGCGGGGGUAAUGGCCCACCUAGGCUUCGACGGGUAGCCGGCCUGAGAGGGCGGACGGCCACAUUGGGACUGAGAUACGGCCCAGACUCCUACGGGAGGCAGCAGC